CAACUCGACUACAUGAAGCUGGAAUCGCUAGUAAUCGCGAAUCAGAAUGUCGCGGUGAAUACGUUCCCGGGUCUUGUACACACCGCCCGUCACACCAUGGGAGUCAGUAACGCCCGAAGUCAGUGACCCAACCUUAUGGAGGGAGCUGCCGAAGGCGGGACCGAUAACUGGGGUGAAGUCGUAACAAGGUAUC
This 193-nucleotide ribosomal RNA is filed under the name uncultured bacterium. RNAcentral's name for it is "partial 16S ribosomal RNA". It matches the Rfam family "Bacterial small subunit ribosomal RNA", at positions 1308 to 1500 of the family's 1533-position model. The record is from RNAcentral.